AGUCCUGCAGUAGAUAAUUACGUUGGAUUGCAAAUCCAAAACCGGAGGUUUGUUUCUCCCGGGGCUU
This 67-nucleotide transfer RNA is filed under the name Odontaspis ferox (smalltooth sand tiger). RNAcentral's name for it is "tRNA-Cys". It matches the Rfam family "tRNA". Rfam says of the family: Transfer RNA (tRNA) molecules are approximately 80 nucleotides in length. Their secondary structure includes four short double-helical elements and three loops (D, anti-codon, and T loops). Further hydrogen bonds mediate the characteristic L-shaped molecular structure. tRNAs have two regions of fundamental functional importance: the anti-codon, which is responsible for specific mRNA codon recognition, and the 3' end, to which the tRNAs corresponding amino acid is attached (by aminoacyl-tRNA synthetases). tRNAs cope with the degeneracy of the genetic code in two manners: having more than one tRNA (with a specific anti-codon) for a particular amino acid; and 'wobble' base-pairing, i.e. permitting non-standard base-pairing at the 3rd anti-codon position. The record is from RNAcentral. Lineage: Eukaryota; Metazoa; Chordata; Chondrichthyes; Lamniformes; Odontaspididae.